GAUUGCCCCAGUAACGGCGAGUGAAGCGGCAACAGCUCAAAUUUGAAAUCUGGCUUCGGCCCGAGUUGUAAUUUGCAGAGGAAGCUUUAGGCGCGGCACCAUCUGAGUCCCCUGGAACGGGGCGCCACAGAGGGUGAGAGCCCCGUAUAGAUGGACGCCUAGCCUGUGUAAAGCUCCUUCGACGAGUCGAGUAGUUUGGGAAUGCUGCUCUAAAUGGGAGGUAAAUUUCUUCUAAAGCUAAAUACCGGCCAGAGACCGAUAGCGCACAAGUAGAGUGAUCGAAAGAUGAAAAGCACUUUGAAAAGAGGGUUAAAUAGCACGUGAAAUUGUUGAAAGGGAAGCGCUUGUGACCAGACUUGCGCCGGGCGGAUCAUCCGGUGUUCUCACCGGUGCACUCCGCCCGGCUCAGGCCAGCAUCGGUUCUCGUGGGGGGACAAAGGUUCCGGGAACGUAGCUCCUCCGGGAGUGUUAUAGCCCGGGGCGUAAUGCCCUCGCGGGGACCGAGGACCGCGCUUCGGCAAGGAUGCUGGCGUAAUGGUCAUCAGCGACCCGUCUUGAAACACGGACCAAGGAGUCAAGGUUUUGCGCGAGUGUUUGGGUGUAAAACCCGCACGCGUAAUGAAAGUGAACGUAGGUGAGAGCUUCGGCGCAUCAUCGACCGAUCCUGAUGUUUUCGGAUGGAUUUGAGUAGGAGCGUUAAGCCUUGGACCCGAAAGAUGGUGAACUAUGCUUGGAUAGGGUGAAGCCAGAGGAAACUCUGGUGGAGGCUCGCAGCGGUUCUGACGUGCAAAUCGAUCGUCAAAUCUGAGCAUGGGGCGAAAGACUAAUCGA
This 831-nucleotide ribosomal RNA is filed under the name Chaetomium subcircinatum. Its description in RNAcentral is "LSU rRNA". It matches the Rfam family "Eukaryotic large subunit ribosomal RNA", at positions 73 to 938 of the family's 3401-position model. The record is from RNAcentral. Lineage: Eukaryota; Fungi; Ascomycota; Sordariomycetes; Sordariales; Chaetomiaceae.